GAAUCAUUGGCAUGUUAUAAUGGCAAGAAAACAUAGAGAACAAAAUAGUGUGUAUAGAAGAAGAAAAACAUCAAAUUUGCAACAAAUUAUUGCUCCUAAUAACAAUAAUAAUAAUGAUGAUGAUAAUGAUGAUAUGAUCAUACAAAGUGAUUCAACAAUUUCUAGCAACAUUGUUGAUGAUCUUCAAAGUGAUUCAACUUGCACUAAUCUUUCACUCACUCCAUCUUCUUCUAAAGCAAUAAUUCAUCCUUUUCUCAUGACAAGAUUUAAUCAUCAUCAUGUGGAGCAUCAAGGAAUCAUCGAUCCUAACAAAGGGUUGUCAAGAGAUGAAGAAGAGGUGAAAAUGGGGUUGUAUGGAAAUAUGUCAGAUACAAAUUCAGAAAUUUCAGCAUCUGAGUCAGUAGCCAACAACAUGACCAAUAUUGUCAAGAUUUAUGAACAAGAUGAAGAUGAUAUAAAAACUGUGAACUUCAUUGAUUUUCUUGGAGUUGGAGCCACUUGAAAAUUAAAUAUAAGUGGGAUUUUGAGGGUAUUUUAUUUUAUUUUAUUACAUAAUAUAUAUUAAUGUGGAAUUGUAGUAACAAUUAAUAGAAGCUAAUUAAGAGUUUAUUUUGUCAACGGAUGAAGUAGGAUUAAUUAGUUUGUAAUUUG
RNAcentral lists this unclassified non-coding RNA (651 nucleotides) under Hevea brasiliensis (rubber tree). The record is from RNAcentral. Lineage: Eukaryota; Viridiplantae; Streptophyta; Magnoliopsida; Malpighiales; Euphorbiaceae.